CCCCUUUCAGGGUCGCACCUGGAGAUUUUCCAGUACUCUACCAGUCUUGGCUUCAGAAGGGAGAGUCAAGCAGAGGCCUACUUAGUCCAUUCCUAGCUUGGGCAGGGGCUAGUGAGUGGAAGGCAAUCUGCUACAAGU
Ornithorhynchus anatinus (platypus) is the source of this 138-nucleotide small nucleolar RNA. NCBI's taxonomy places the organism in Eukaryota, Metazoa, Chordata, Mammalia, Monotremata, Ornithorhynchidae. The record is from RefSeq and is a predicted model, not a curated record.